RNAcentral lists this long non-coding RNA (834 nucleotides) under Pongo abelii (Sumatran orangutan). RNAcentral's name for it is "lncRNA (ENSPPYG00000030285.1)". Lineage: Eukaryota; Metazoa; Chordata; Mammalia; Primates; Hominidae. The record is from RNAcentral.
GGCCUCCGGGUGCGGGGUGGGGGCAGGCUCUGACCUGGGGCGUCCUGGCCGCGUGAGCCGCGGGAUGGGGGCCCGGGCCCCGGAGGAGGCGCCGCUGUUGUGUUCCUUGGUGGAGAGGGCGCUGCCGGCCCUGCGCGGUUUCCAGCCAGGAAGCUUCGGGAAGCCUGGUGCGAGGACGUCUGCUCACUGGAAACGACACGUGCGUGGGGUGUUGGGAAGGAGGUGACUUCGCCUGUGAUGGACUUCCAGUGUGAGCACUGGCCAGAGUGACCAGGCCGACCAGCACCAGCCCUGAUCCAGACGCAGAGGCCAAGAUGUGGGCCCAGCCCUGUGCCAGAAGGCUGGCUGGAAUAAAGGUACAGAUACAGGCCUCACCCCCUCUGGGACCACUGGCACUCAGGGUGUUUGCAGCCUGAGCCCAGCUUUCCAGAAGCCCACCUGCCCCCAGGGCCACAGCUGCAGCUCCUGCUCUGCUGUCAUUACAGGGAUGGGCAGGCUGGCAUGGGGACACCCGCUGCCCCUGCCUGGGUAGUGCUGUGUAUUUCCGCCGGCCAGGGGCCACUGCCAGGACCACCCCUCCAUUUUCAUAUCCCGAUUCUUAAGUUCUGCCAUUGUGGUAUUCUGGUGGAAAAAAAAGAACCGCUUGGCUGUUUUUGAACUGUCUGGAACCUAAGAUCCCGAAUCCCCCCCCCGCCCCCCCGCAGGGGGAAAAUCUAUAUGGAAAACAUUUAUUUUAAAAUACAGGAUGAAGUGAAUUAAAAGAUUUAAAUGCACAUUUCUUUAAGGAUAGUAUUUCUGUGUUGGCAAAAUUUGAGAAUAAAUUGGUCUUGAAUG